AUGCACAACAUUAUUCUUGCUUUAAUCAACAUGAACCAUCCACAUGCUUCUGUUUCAAACAUUCUCAACUUUAUGUGGUGCCUUUGGAAAGCAAGAAACGACUAUCUUUUUGACAGGAAAAAGGCUCUCCCUCACCAUGUUAAUAUUGUUGCAAAUUCUUUGUCUUCUGAAUCUAAUGAUCUUCUUAAUAUCUCUCAACAAUUACAGCCUCAGGCUCCCAUCCGGUCUUCAACUCCUACUAACCAAAUUCCUUUGCAGGGUCAUACACUUAAAUCUGAUCUUCUUAUUAUAGGUUCCAAAGUUUAUUCUGAUGCUGCUUUCAAAUGUAAAAAUAUUCCAGGUUUAAUGUAG
Molecule: ribosomal RNA, 351 nt
Filed under: Triticum aestivum (bread wheat)
Lineage: Eukaryota; Viridiplantae; Streptophyta; Magnoliopsida; Poales; Poaceae
Description: partial small subunit ribosomal RNA
Source: RNAcentral